ACCUUAUAAACUAUUUCAUUGGGUGUAACAUGGAGUUUACGUGAAGAAAUCUCCUUCUGAAGCACAUAUCUUCUAACGGGCAAAUAUAGCAACAUAAGGAUACCGACUCCCCAAGCUAAAACCAGCAACAAUGAUAUGGAAACCCAUAUAACAGUGUCAUACUUCAAAGUAUUUUCUCCAAGUUCCUCGAACGAAGCUGUGUACAAUAUCUGUUCAGAAAUAGAUCCAUCAUCACCAUCAUCAAACUCCGGUUCAGGAUCAGAAAGUAGGUGAUCCCUUGAUGAUCCAGGUUCUGAUAGACCCUCUGCGUGUCCCAUCAACAUUCUCCAACUUCAGAACUGAAACUGAAUACGUGAAAUAUCAAUGCUGAAUCUUCCAAAUAUUCGAUGUCCCAAUUGGAAAAAAAAUUCAGAUGAAGUUAUGGACGUUGAUGUUAGGGUUUUGAUGUGAAUUUUGGGGGUUUUAUGAU
RNAcentral lists this unclassified non-coding RNA (469 nucleotides) under Hevea brasiliensis (rubber tree). Lineage: Eukaryota; Viridiplantae; Streptophyta; Magnoliopsida; Malpighiales; Euphorbiaceae. The record is from RNAcentral.